RNAcentral lists this ribosomal RNA (159 nucleotides) under SAR324 cluster bacterium. Its description in RNAcentral is "partial 23S ribosomal RNA". It matches the Rfam family "Bacterial large subunit ribosomal RNA", at positions 2770 to 2925 of the family's 2925-position model. The record is from RNAcentral. Lineage: Bacteria; Deltaproteobacteria.
GCUGAAAGCAUCUAAGCGGGAAGCCAACCUCAAGAUAGAUCUCCCGGGUCUUUAUGGCCCCCAAAGGUCUCUAGAAGACUACUAGUUCGUUAGGCAGGAUGUGAAAGUGGGGUAACUCAUGAAGCUGACCUGUACUAAUCGACCGGGUGGUUUAACUUA